CCUACGGGUGGCAGCAGUGAGGAAUAUUGGUCAAUGGACGGGAGACUGAACCAGCCAAGCCGCGUGAGGGAUGAAGGUACAGAGUAUCGUAAACCUCUUUUGUCAGGGAACAAAGGCGGGGACGUGUCCCCGGAUGAGUGUACCUGAAGAAAAAGCAUCGGCUAACUCCGUGCCAGCAGCCGCGGUAAUACGGAGGAUGCGAGCGUUAUCCGGAUUUAUUGGGUUUAAAGGGUGCGCAGGCGGGCCGUUAAGUCAGCGGGCAAAGCCCGGGGCUCAACCCCGGAACCGCAAUUGAAACUGACAGUCUCGAGUUGGUGUGAGGUAUGCGGAAUGCGCGGUGUAGCGGUGAAAUGCAUAGAUAUCGCGCAGAACUCCGAUUGCGAAGGCAGCAUGCCGGCUCCACACUGACGCUGAGGCACGAAAGCGUGGGUAUCGAACAGGAUUAGAUACCCUUGUAGUC
Molecule: ribosomal RNA, 460 nt
Filed under: uncultured bacterium
Lineage: Bacteria
Description: partial 16S ribosomal RNA
Rfam family: Bacterial small subunit ribosomal RNA
Source: RNAcentral